RNAcentral lists this ribosomal RNA (423 nucleotides) under uncultured bacterium. RNAcentral's name for it is "bacterial SSU rRNA". It matches the Rfam family "Bacterial small subunit ribosomal RNA", at positions 358 to 773 of the family's 1533-position model. The record is from RNAcentral.
GGAAUAUUGGACAAUGGGCGAAAGCCUGAUCCAGCAAUGCCGCGUGUGUGAAGCAGGCCUGCGGGUUGUAAAGCACUUUUGGCCGGGAAGAAAAGCUCGGGGCGAAUACCCCCGGGUGUUGACGUCACCUGCAGAAAAAGCACCGGCUAACUCUGUGCCCGCAGCCGCGGUAAUACAGAGGGUGCAAGCGUUAAUCGGAAUUACUGGGCGUAAAGCGAGCGUAGGCGGUCAGGUAAGUCGGUUGUGAAAUCCCCGGGCUUAACCUGGGAAUUGCAGUCGAUACUGCCUGGCUAGAGUGUGGAAGAGGGAAGCGGAAUUUCCGGUGUAGCGGUGAAAUGCGUAGAUAUCGGAAGGAACACCAGUGGCGAAGGCGGCUUCCUGGUCCAACACUGACGCUGAGGCGCGAAAGCGUGGGUAGCGAAC